CCCCAAGGUGCAACUGGCUGCACACCCGACUGCUACUCGGGAGGGCCGGGUUCGAGUCCCGGUGGGGUGA
RNAcentral lists this transfer RNA (70 nucleotides) under Saccharothrix sp. RNAcentral describes it as "tRNA-Ser". It matches the Rfam family "tRNA". From Rfam's summary of the family: Transfer RNA (tRNA) molecules are approximately 80 nucleotides in length. Their secondary structure includes four short double-helical elements and three loops (D, anti-codon, and T loops). Lineage: Bacteria; Bacillati; Actinomycetota; Actinomycetes; Pseudonocardiales; Pseudonocardiaceae. The record is from RNAcentral.